GAUGAACGCUGGCGGCGUGCCUAAUACAUGCAAGUCGAACGAACGGACGAGAAGCUUGCUUCUCUGAUGUUAGCGGCGGACGGGUGAGUAACACGUGGAUAACCUACCUAUAAGACUGGGAUAACUUCGGGAAACCGGAGCUAAUACCGGAUAAUAUUUUGAACCGCAUGGUUCAAAAGUGAAAGACGGUCUUGCUGUCACUUAUAGAUGGAUCCGCGCUGCAUUAGCUAGUUGGUAAGGUAACGGCUUACCAAGGCAACGAUGCAUAGCCGACCUGAGAGGGUGAUCGGCCACACUGGAACUGAGACACGGUCCAGACUCCUACGGGAGGCAGCAGUAGGGAAUCUUCCGCAAUGGGCGAAAGCCUGACGGAGCAACGCCGCGUGAGUGAUGAAGGUCUUCGGAUCGUAAAACUCUGUUAUUAGGGAAGAACAUAUGUGUAAGUAACUGUGCACAUCUUGACGGUACCUAAUCAGAAAGCCACGGCUAACUACGUGCCAGCAGCCGCGGUAAUACGUAGGUGGCAAGCGUUAUCCGGAAUUAUUGGGCGUAAAGCGCGCGUAGGCGGUUUUUUAAGUCUGAUGUGAAAGCCCACGGCUCAACCGUGGAGGGUCAUUGGAAACUGGAAAACUUGAGUGCAGAAGAGGAAAGUGGAAUUCCAUGUGUAGCGGUGAAAUGCGCAGAGAUAUGGAGGAACACCAGUGGCGAAGGCGACUUUCUGGUCUGUAACUGACGCUGAUGUGCGAAAGCGUGGGGAUCAAACAGGAUUAGAUACCCUGGUAGUCCACGCCGUAAACGAUGAGUGCUAAGUGUUAGGGGGUUUCCGCCCCUUAGUGCUGCAGCUAACGCAUUAAGCACUCCGCCUGGGGAGUACGACCGCAAGGUUGAAACUCAAAGGAAUUGACGGGGACCCGCACAAGCGGUGGAGCAUGUGGUUUAAUUCGAAGCAACGCGAAGAACCUUACCAAAUCUUGACAUCCUUUGACAACUCUAGAGAUAGAGCUUUCCCCUUCGGGGGACAAAGUGACAGGUGGUGCAUGGUUGUCGUCAGCUCGUGUCGUGAGAUGUUGGGUUAAGUCCCGCAACGAGCGCAACCCUUAAGCUUAGUUGCCAUCAUUAAGUUGGGCACUCUAAGUUGACUGCCGGUGACAAACCGGAGGAAGGUGGGGAUGACGUCAAAUCACCAUGCCCCUUAUGAUUUGGGCUACACACGUGCUACAAUGGACAAUACAAAGGGCAGCGAAACCGCGAGGUCAAGCAAAUCCCAUAAAGUUGUUCUCAGUUCGGAUUGUAGUCUGCAACUCGACUACAUGAAGCUGGAAUCGCUAGUAAUCGUAGAUCAGCAUGCUACGGUGAAUACGUUCCCGGGUCU
Molecule: ribosomal RNA, 1372 nt
Filed under: uncultured bacterium
Lineage: Bacteria
Description: bacterial SSU rRNA
Rfam family: Bacterial small subunit ribosomal RNA
Source: RNAcentral